Molecule: ribosomal RNA, 1528 nt
Filed under: Klebsiella pneumoniae
Lineage: Bacteria; Pseudomonadati; Pseudomonadota; Gammaproteobacteria; Enterobacterales; Enterobacteriaceae
Description: bacterial SSU rRNA
Rfam family: Bacterial small subunit ribosomal RNA
Source: RNAcentral
AGAGUUUGAUCAUGGCUCAGAUUGAACGCUGGCGGCAGGCCUAACACAUGCAAGUCGAGCGGUAGCACAGAGAGCUUGCUCUCGGGUGACGAGCGGCGGACGGGUGAGUAAUGUCUGGGAAACUGCCUGAUGGAGGGGGAUAACUACUGGAAACGGUAGCUAAUACCGCAUAACGUCGCAAGACCAAAGUGGGGGACCUUCGGGCCUCAUGCCAUCAGAUGUGCCCAGAUGGGAUUAGCUAGUAGGUGGGGUAACGGCUCACCUAGGCGACGAUCCCUAGCUGGUCUGAGAGGAUGACCAACCACACUGGAACUGAGACACGGUCCAGACUCCUACGGGAGGCAGCAGUGGGGAAUAUUGCACAAUGGGCGCAAGCCUGAUGCAGCCAUGCCGCGUGUGUGAAGAAGGCCUUCGGGUUGUAAAGCACUUUCAGCGGGGAGGAAGGCGGUGAGGUUAAUAACCUCAUCGAUUGACGUUACCCGCAGAAGAAGCACCGGCUAACUCCGUGCCAGCAGCCGCGGUAAUACGGAGGGUGCAAGCGUUAAUCGGAAUUACUGGGCGUAAAGCGCACGCAGGCGGUCUGUCAAGUCGGAUGUGAAAUCCCCGGGCUCAACCUGGGAACUGCAUUCGAAACUGGCAGGCUAGAGUCUUGUAGAGGGGGGUAGAAUUCCAGGUGUAGCGGUGAAAUGCGUAGAGAUCUGGAGGAAUACCGGUGGCGAAGGCGGCCCCCUGGACAAAGACUGACGCUCAGGUGCGAAAGCGUGGGGAGCAAACAGGAUUAGAUACCCUGGUAGUCCACGCCGUAAACGAUGUCGAUUUGGAGGUUGUGCCCUUGAGGUGUGGCUUCCGGAGCUAACGCGUUAAAUCGACCGCCUGGGGAGUACGGCCGCAAGGUUAAAACUCAAAUGAAUUGACGGGGGCCCGCACAAGCGGUGGAGCAUGUGGUUUAAUUCGAUGCAACGCGAAGAACCUUACCUGGUCUUGACAUCCACAGAACUUUCCAGAGAUGGAUUGGUGCCUUCGGGAACUGUGAGACAGGUGCUGCAUGGCUGUCGUCAGCUCGUGUUGUGAAAUGUUGGGUUAAGUCCCGCAACGAGCGCAACCCUUAUCCUUUGUUGCCAGCGGUUCGGCCGGGAACUCAAAGGAGACUGCCAGUGAUAAACUGGAGGAAGGUGGGGAUGACGUCAAGUCAUCAUGGCCCUUACGACCAGGGCUACACACGUGCUACAAUGGCAUAUACAAAGAGAAGCGACCUCGCGAGAGCAAGCGGACCUCAUAAAGUAUGUCGUAGUCCGGAUUGGAGUCUGCAACUCGACUCCAUGAAGUCGGAAUCGCUAGUAAUCGUAGAUCAGAAUGCUACGGUGAAUACGUUCCCGGGCCUUGUACACACCGCCCGUCACACCAUGGGAGUGGGUUGCAAAAGAAGUAGGUAGCUUAACCUUCGGGAGGGCGCUUACCACUUUGUGAUUCAUGACUGGGGUGAAGUCGUAACAAGGUAACCGUAGGGGAACCUGCGGUUGGAUCACCU